GACGGGCAGUUUAACUGGGGAGGUUGCCUCCAAAAAUGUAACGGAGGCGUACAAAGGUUGGCUAAUCCCGGAUUGGAAAUCGGGACGUGUCGUGCAAACGCGAUAAGCCAGCUUGACUGCGAGACAUACAGGUCGAGCAGAUGCGAAAGCAGGUGUUAGUGAUCCUCGCAUCCCUCGUGGGAGGGAGCGGGCUUAACGAAUAAAAGCUACUCCGGGGAUAACAGGCUGAUCGCUUCCGAGAGUCCAUAUCGACGAGGCGGUUUGGCACCUCGAUAGUCCCGCAAUGUGGGACAUGUCGCCUACGAGAGCAAUCUUGUAGAGAAAAUUCAGCUCAUAUCGGUGAAACCCGACUUGGCCAUUGAACCCGGCCAAAGGGCAAUACCGAGGGAAGGCCGCCACUCAUUUGAGAGUUCAAAUGAAGGCGUGCCCCCGUAACGACUGAUGUCUGAUUCGCUUGUCAAAAAAAGCAAUCGAGACUGAGAUAGAUGAUGAAUAUUUCCAUCUAUCACACGCUGAGCCCCGCGCCCGCACAAAUAGUUGAAAUUUGAUCGGGUUCGGGUGAUGGUAUAGUCUAUGCCUCGAGAAAUCGGGGAGAAACAUGGUCGGCUCGUCCUAUCCUGGGGCUGGAGAAGGUCCCAAGGGUCCGGCUGUUCGCCGGUUAAAAGGGCACGCGAGCUGGGUUCAGAACGUAAAUUUCAUUGCGUUCUAUGUCAGUAAUGGCAUACAAUAAAAGUGAAGUCAGAGACUUCUGCUUUCUAUCGCCCAAACGAGGAAAAAGAUAGAAAGAAUCGACUAAAAUCGGUGAAACCCAAUACGAUACCGAACGUUUUUAUUGGGCGAUACCGAGGGUAAGAUAAGAAACGACGGUAGAUGAUAGAGCAUAGAAAAUAGUCCCGCUCGAAGCGGGAUUGAAUAUCGAAGAUAGAAAAUAGAACGCGCAAGAUAUAUGAUCCGGUCAUUUAAAGAUUUGGAAGUGUAUGCGGAAUCCUACAAAUUAGCAAUUCUUGUCAAUCAAAACGUGAAUAAAUUCCCACUCUUUGAGAAGAAUGAUCUAGGGUCGCAGUUGCGGCGAUGUUCCAAAUCUCCUCCGGCAAAUAUUGCUGAGGGCUGGGCAAAGCGAAGAUUCCCAAAAGAAUUUAAGCGGUAUCUUGAUUCCGCCAUUGGUUCGUGCAACGAGAUAGAGGUACAUAUCUGCAUGGCCAGAGAUUUACGAUUUUGGGAAAAGAAAUUUUGUGAAGAUUUAAUCCAGCGCUAUAUUUAUCUAGGGGGUAAGCUCGUUAAGUUGCGUGAUAAUUGGAAGACGUUUUAACUUCCAUCGCUCUAUUUUCUACAACCAUUUUCUAUAAUCUAUCAUCUAUCGUCUCACUUCUUGAUCCCGUAGAGACUUGUUCCGCAAGGAACAGAUUCCGAUAAUACAUCGGGAUAACACGUCGACCCCCGGCGAACACCGGGGUGAAGAUAUAGUCCAAACAACUAGUAAUAGUUGAGUAUUUUGCGUGAGACAGUUCGGUCUCUAUCCAGUGCAAGCGUUCGAUUCUUGAGGGAAGCUCUCUCUAGUACGAGAGGACCGAGAGGGACAGAUCCCUGGUGUGCCUGUUGUCGGAAAACCGGCAACGCAGGGUAGCUAGAUCUGGACGGGAUAAGUGCUGAAAGCAUCUCAAGCGCCAAGCCCACCCCAAGAUAAAGAAUCGUUCCCGAUGUAAAUCGGGAUAAGAUCUGUCGUAGACCACGACGUAUAUAGGCGAGGAGUGUACGCAUCGCAAGGUGUUUAGCUUACUCGUACUAAUAGAUCGAAAGUUGAGGAGAA
Molecule: ribosomal RNA, 1807 nt
Filed under: bacterium
Lineage: Bacteria
Description: partial 23S ribosomal RNA
Rfam family: Bacterial large subunit ribosomal RNA
Source: RNAcentral